Molecule: ribosomal RNA, 1423 nt
Filed under: Staphylococcus aureus
Lineage: Bacteria; Bacillati; Bacillota; Bacilli; Caryophanales; Staphylococcaceae
Description: bacterial SSU rRNA
Rfam family: Bacterial small subunit ribosomal RNA
Source: RNAcentral
UGCAGUCGAGCGAACGGACGAGAAGCUUGCUUCUCUGAUGUUAGCGGCGGACGGGUGAGUAACACGUGGAUAACCUACCUAUAAGACUGGGAUAACUUCGGGAAACCGGAGCUAAUACCGGAUAAUAUUUUGAACCGCAUGGUUCAAAAGUGAAAGACGGUCUUGCUGUCACUUAUAGAUGGAUCCGCGCUGCAUUAGCUAGUUGGUAAGGUAACGGCUUACCAAGGCAACGAUGCAUAGCCGACCUGAGAGGGUGAUCGGCCACACUGGAACUGAGACACGGUCCAGACUCCUACGGGAGGCAGCAGUAGGGAAUCUUCCGCAAUGGGCGAAAGCCUGACGGAGCAACGCCGCGUGAGUGAUGAAGGUCUUCGGAUCGUAAAACUCUGUUAUUAGGGAAGAACAUAUGUGUAAGUAACUGUGCACAUCUUGACGGUACCUAAUCAGAAAGCCACGGCUAACUACGUGCCAGCAGCCGCGGUAAUACGUAGGUGGCAAGCGUUAUCCGGAAUUAUUGGGCGUAAAGCGCGCGUAGGCGGUUUUUUAAGUCUGAUGUGAAAGCCCACGGCUCAACCGUGGAGGGUCAUUGGAAACUGGAAAACUUGAGUGCAGAAGAGGAAAGUGGAAUUCCAUGUGUAGCGGUGAAAUGCGCAGAGAUAUGGAGGAACACCAGUGGCGAAGGCGACUUUCUGGUCUGUAACUGACGCUGAUGUGCGAAAGCGUGGGGAUCAAACAGGAUUAGAUACCCUGGUAGUCCACGCCGUAAACGAUGAGUGCUAAGUGUUAGGGGGUUUCCGCCCCUUAGUGCUGCAGCUAACGCAUUAAGCACUCCGCCUGGGGAGUACGACCGCAAGGUUGAAACUCAAAGGAAUUGACGGGGACCCGCACAAGCGGUGGAGCAUGUGGUUUAAUUCGAAGCAACGCGAAGAACCUUACCAAAUCUUGACAUCCUUUGACAACUCUAGAGAUAGAGCYUUCCCCUUCGGGGGACAAAGUGACAGGUGGUGCAUGGUUGUCGUCAGCUCGUGUCGUGAGAUGUUGGGUUAAGUCCCGCAACGAGCGCAACCCUUAAGCUUAGUUGCCAUCAUUAAGUUGGGCACUCUAAGUUGACUGCCGGUGACAAACCGGAGGAAGGUGGGGAUGACGUCAAAUCAUCAUGCCCCUUAUGAUUUGGGCUACACACGUGCUACAAUGGACAAUACAAAGGGCAGCGAAACCGCGAGGUCAAGCAAAUCCCAUAAAGUUGUUCUCAGUUCGGAUUGUAGUCUGCAACUCGACUACAUGAAGCUGGAAUCGCUAGUAAUCGUAGAUCAGCAUGCUACGGUGAAUACGUUCCCGGGUCUUGUACACACCGCCCGUCACACCACGAGAGUUUGUAACACCCGAAGCCGGUGGAGUAACCUUUUAGGAGCUAGCCGUCGAA